This 3458-nucleotide unclassified non-coding RNA is filed under the name Ceratitis capitata (Mediterranean fruit fly). RNAcentral describes it as "cullin-4A, transcript variant X1". The record is from RNAcentral. Lineage: Eukaryota; Metazoa; Arthropoda; Insecta; Diptera; Tephritidae.
UAAAUCUAAAUGUAUUUUGUGCAUUAUGAUCGUUCUGCACAUAAAUCCAAUUCAGUUGAUCUGGUAGCCUCAACGUCGACAUCAAAAGCAGAAGCAGCGGUGGUGAUCGAAAGAAAAUAAAGACAUUUGCAAUUGGAUUUUCGGAAUUAUAAUAAAUAUAAAGAUAUUUUCGAUUCUGUUUUAAAUUAUUUAUAUAGAUUUGUCCGUGUUUUUAUUAUAGUGUACAGUGAACUAUAAAAUUUGGUAGCACGUUUUUGUAUUGGAAAAUUAAAGGAACGGUAAGGGUGGUAUUCCGUACAAAAUACGACAGCAAUCAAGCAGGCAUCCAGCUGAAGCACUACCAUCCGUUUGCGAACGUCAGAAUAGUAGUAGAAGCAUAAAGUUAAUUCGAAGGCCUUUCGCUCUAACAACAGACACCUUUACGCGUGUGUAAUCAGAGCAGUAAACACCGCCGUCACCAUUAGCGCCGCUGGUGCAGUGCGGAAAACGAACUAUGAGCGCCGCUAAAAAAUACAAGCUUAUGGACACAGGUGAUCAAUUACAGGACACGGAGAAUUAUACAAACAAUCGUUUAAAGAAACAAGGCGAUAACAAUUUUUAUAGUCCCUCGACUUCGGCUCGUUGUGCGUUGGGACAAAAUUUGCAUCAACCCUCAGCUGCGUCAAGUUCUCAAUUGUCGUAUAAUAUGAAUAAUAGCAAUAGCAGUUUGGGCACUAACGGUGAAAGGCGUGCUAAUUUCUCAAUGUUAGAUGGGGCACAUAUGAACGAUCAUCGCUCAGCCACAACUACCUCAGCGUACUUUAAUAAGAUGGGCGCAAAUAAUGCCUCCAAGCCGGGAGAUGUUAAAAAAAUUGUAAUAAAAAAUUUCAAGAUGAAACCUACACUGCCGGACAAUUAUUCGGAGCAUACUUGCGAAAAAUUGCAAGAAGCAGUUGUCGCAAUUCAACUGUCAAAGCCAAUUAGGUAUUCAUUAGAAGAGCUGUAUCAAGCUGUGGAAAAUAUGUGCAGCCAUAGGAUGGAUGCGCAGUUAUAUGGAAAACUUAGAGAGCUUACCGAAGCUCAUGUGAAACGCAACGUUGAGUCAUUUACAGGCGCGAGUAUGGAUAAAUUGGUGUUCUUGAAAAAGAUAAAUGGUUGGUGGUUAUCAUUUUGCCAACAAAUGAUUAUGAUGCGCAGUAUAUUUCUAUAUUUGGAUCGGACGUAUGUUUUGCAAAAUCCUACUGUUCACUCAAUAUGGGAUAUGGGCUUGGAUUUAUUUCGGACUCAUAUAGCAAUGAAUGAAAAAGUACAAAAACGUACUGUGGAAGGAAUACUUAUGCUAAUCGAAAAAGAACGUACGGGUGAUGCGGUGGAUAGGGGAUUACUUAAGAGUCUCAUACGAAUGUUAUGUGAUUUGCAAAUUUAUAUUAGUGCUUUUGAAGAUAAAUUCCUUAUUGCAACAAAGCAAUUGUAUCAGCUUGAAGGACAACGUAAAAUGCAAGAAAUGGAUGUGCCCGAAUAUUUACGACAUGUAGACAAACGAUUGGCAGAAGAAAACGAACGACUCUUGCACUAUUUAGACUCUAGUACCAAGUAUCCUUUAAUUUAUACAGUAGAAAAGGAGUUACUUGCAGAACACCUUACACACAUCCUACAAAAAGGUCUGGAUACCCUCUUGGAAGAAAAUAGACUGAGUGAUCUCACACUUCUGUACAGCCUUCUGAGUCGAGUCAAAAAUGGCACUGCCGAACUGUGCGGCAACUUUAACGGUUACAUUAAGAAAAAGGGACGUACCAUUGUUAUAGAUCCUGAAAAGGAUAAAAGUAUGGUACAGGAUUUGUUGGACUUUAAGGAUAAAAUGGAUGUGAUCGUGCGCACAUGUUUCGAACAUAAUGAAAAAUUCACGAACUCUUUGCGAGAGGCUUUCGAAUUCUUCAUAAACCAACGAGCGAAUAAACCGGCCGAAUUAAUAGCUAAGUAUGUAGACAUGAAACUGCGUGCUGGAAAUAAGGAAGCCACAGAAGAAGAAUUAGAACAGAUACUUGAUAAAAUCAUGGUGCUGUUUCGUUUUAUACAUGGCAAAGAUGUCUUCGAGGCAUUUUAUAAGAAGGAUUUGGCAAAACGUUUACUGGUUGGAAAAUCUGCAUCAGUUGAUGCUGAGAAGAGCAUGUUGUCCAAGUUAAAGCAAGAAUGUGGUGGUGGAUUCACCUCGAAGUUGGAAGGCAUGUUCAAGGAUAUGGAGUUGAGCCGCGAUAUAAAUAUUGCAUUUAAGCAGUAUGUCGGAAAUACGGAUACAGAGAUAACCAGUAUGGAUUUGACUGUCAAUAUACUAACAAUGGGCUAUUGGCCCACAUAUCCCUUAACUGAAGUCACUAUGCCACCACAACUUGUGAAUCCGCAACAAGUUUUCAAUAAAUUUUACUUGGCUAAGCAUAGCGGUCGUAAGCUCCAAUGGCAGCCAACACUGGGUAAUUGUGUGCUUAAAGCGCAGUUUGAUGCGGGUCCCAAAGAGCUAUUGGUUUCGCUGUUUCAAGCACUUGUGCUCUUACUGUUCAACGACAAAAACGCAUUGAGUUUUGAAGAAAUCAUUGCUGCUACAAAUAUUGAAGAUGGAGAACUGCGCAGAACCUUACAGUCGUUAGCUUGUGGGCGUGCGCGUGUUAUUACGAAAACCCCAAAGGGUCGUGAGGUGGUGAACAAAGAUUUGUUCCAGUAUAACAAUGAAUUUACAAAUAAAUUGUUCCGUAUAAAAAUCAAUCAAAUCCAAAUGAAGGAAACGACGGAAGAACAAAAAGCAACAGAAGAGCGCGUUUUCCAAGAUCGACAAUAUCAAAUUGAUGCAGCCAUUGUGAGAAUAAUGAAAAUGCGUAAAACGCUUAGUCACAACCUGCUCAUUGGAGAACUCUUCAAUCAAUUGACAUUUCCUGUUAAGCCGGCUGAUUUGAAGAAACGCAUUGAAUCACUUAUAGACCGCGAUUAUAUGGAACGCGACAAAGAUAAUCAAAAUCAAUACAAUUACGUUGCUUAAAUUAUGAUUUCUAUACAUAUAAGGGCUCUACGACAGUCGACAUCGCUCGCAAGCAAGCCCUUUUUCCAUUAUCAGCAUCUAACAUGUAAACAUUACUUCAUUCGCAACAUCAAAUAAAACAAAAGAAAUUAAUGAGCGGUUACUCACAUCAUAUCCUUUUGCUUUACAAACGUAUAACAGUUUAAAUGUCGUUAUAUAUGUAUUAAAUAACUAUGUGUUUAAAAAGGCAUAUUCGGACAAAAAAUGGAUAACAACAAAGUUAAGCUAGCACUGAGCCAAAGUUCUAAAGCUUGCCUUGAUUGAAGAGAAUAAAAGAGAAAAAGCCGAGAUGAUACCCCACCAUAUCGGCUUAUAAAUUUACUGCACUGUAUAAAUAACUACUAUUAAAAUGAAGUAACUUCUUACGAAUGUUCCCAGAUAAAUAUAUACACACCUGUUACUCUUCUUCUGA